This 427-nucleotide long non-coding RNA is filed under the name Homo sapiens (human). Its description in RNAcentral is "HSALNT0314547". Lineage: Eukaryota; Metazoa; Chordata; Mammalia; Primates; Hominidae. The record is from RNAcentral.
GUCAGGAGAUCCAGACAAUCCUGGCCAACAUGGUGAAACCCUGUCUCUACUAAAAAUACAAAAAAAUAGCCGGGUGUGGCUGCACACACCUGUAGUCCCAGCUACUCAGGAGGCUGAGGCAGGAGAAUCGGUUGAACCUGGGAGGUGGAGGCAGCAGUGAGCCGAGAUCGCACCACUGCAUUCGAGCCUGGGCGAAAAAGUGAGACUCCAUCUCAAACAAAACAAAACAAAACAAAACAAAACAAAACAAUAAAAUUUACCACCAUAACCAUUUUAAAGUAUAGAGUUCAUUGGCAUGAGAUACAAUCAUAUUGCUGUGCAACACUCACCACUGUUCAUCUCCAGAAUGUUUUUCAUUGUCCCAAACUGAAAUUCUGCACCCAUUAAACACUAACUCCCCAUUCUCCCUCCUCCAGCCCCCGGCAAC